UGGGCGUAAAGGGCUCGCAGGCGGUUUCUUAAGUCUGAUGUGAAAGCCCCCGGCUCUACCGGGGAGGGUCAUUGGAAACUGGGGAACUUGAGUGCAGAAGAGGAGAGUGGAAUUCCACGUGUAGCGGUGAAAUGCGUAGAGAUGUGGAGGAACACCAGUGGCGAAGGCGACUCUCUGGUCUGUAACUGACGCUGAGGAGCGAAAGCGUGGGGAGCGAACAGGAUUAGAUACCCUGGUAGUCCACGCCGUAAACGAUGAGUGCUAAGUGUUAGGGGGUUUCCGCCCCUUAGUGCUGCAGCUAACGCAUUAAGCACUCCGCCUGGGGAGUACGGUCGCAAGACUGAAACUCAAAGGAAUUGACGGGGGCCCGCACAAGCGGUGGAGCAUGUGGUUUAAUUCGAAGCAACGCGAAGAACCUUACCAGGUCUUGACAUCCUCUGACAAUCCUAGAGAUAGGACGUCCCCUUCGGGGGCAGAGUGACAGGUGGUGCAUGGUUGUCGUCAGCUCGUGUCGUGAGAUGUUGGGUUAAGUCCCGCAACGAGCGCAACCCUUGAUCUUAGUUGCCAGCAUUCAGUUGGGCACUCUAAGGUGACUGCCGGUGACAAACCGGAGGAAGGUGGGGAUGACGUCAAAUCAUCAUGCCCCUUAUGACCUGGGCUACACACGUGCUACAAUGGACAGAACAAAGGGCAGCGAAACCGCGAGGUUAAGCCAAUCCCACAAAUCUGUUCU
RNAcentral lists this ribosomal RNA (733 nucleotides) under Bacillus subtilis. RNAcentral describes it as "bacterial SSU rRNA". It matches the Rfam family "Bacterial small subunit ribosomal RNA", at positions 555 to 1288 of the family's 1533-position model. Lineage: Bacteria; Bacillati; Bacillota; Bacilli; Caryophanales; Bacillaceae. The record is from RNAcentral.